UAACCAUGAUCAAGAUUCUUACGGGAU
RNAcentral lists this non-coding RNA (27 nucleotides) under Mus musculus (house mouse). Lineage: Eukaryota; Metazoa; Chordata; Mammalia; Rodentia; Muridae. The record is from RNAcentral.